AGCCGAAACGGGCGGAUUACGACCGCCCGUCUGCGGGGAACGACCGCCCCGCACCGAUGAUGGCAGGUCAAA
This 72-nucleotide non-coding RNA is filed under the name Ruminiclostridium sp. The record is from RNAcentral. Lineage: Bacteria; Bacillati; Bacillota; Clostridia; Eubacteriales; Oscillospiraceae.